CUCGUAGGCGGUUCGUCGCGUCCGGUGUGAAAGUCCAUCGCUUAACGGUGGAUCCGCGCCGGGUACGGGCGGGCUUGAGUGCGGUAGGGGAGACUGGAAUUCCCGGUGUAACGGUGGAAUGUGUAGAUAUCGGGAAGAACACUAAUGGCGAAGGCAGGUCUCUGGGCCGUUACUGACGCUGAGGAGCGAAAGCGUGGGGAGCGAACA
This 207-nucleotide ribosomal RNA is filed under the name uncultured bacterium. RNAcentral's name for it is "partial 16S ribosomal RNA". It matches the Rfam family "Bacterial small subunit ribosomal RNA", at positions 568 to 774 of the family's 1533-position model. The record is from RNAcentral.